This 326-nucleotide ribosomal RNA is filed under the name uncultured eukaryote. Its description in RNAcentral is "partial 18S ribosomal RNA". It matches the Rfam family "Eukaryotic small subunit ribosomal RNA", at positions 1470 to 1796 of the family's 1831-position model. The record is from RNAcentral.
CCCCUAGAUGUUCUGGGCCGCACGCGCGCUACACUGAACAGUUCAACAAGUCUUAACCUUGGCCGAUAGGUCUGGGUAAUCUUUGAACGCUGUUCGUGAUUGGGAUAGACCUUUGCAAUUAUGGGUCUUCAACGAGGAAUUCCUAGUAAACGCAGAUCAUCAAUCUGCAUUGAUUACGUCCCUGCCCUUUGUACACACCGCCCGUCGCACCUACCGAUUGGAUGGUCCGGUGAAGCCUCGGGAUUGUGGUUCUUGCCGCUUUAUUGUGGCGUGACCGCGAGAACUUGUCUAAACCUUAUCAUCUAGAGGAAGGUGAAGUCGUAACA